AGCGGUGUGGCCGAGUGGUUAGAGCGACGGGUUGGAAAUCCGAAGGAAACGGGUUCGAUUCCUUUUGCCACAC
Molecule: non-coding RNA, 73 nt
Organism: Bursaphelenchus xylophilus (pine wood nematode)
Lineage: Eukaryota; Metazoa; Nematoda; Chromadorea; Rhabditida; Aphelenchoididae
Source: Rfam